This 465-nucleotide ribosomal RNA is filed under the name uncultured bacterium. RNAcentral's name for it is "partial 16S ribosomal RNA". It matches the Rfam family "Bacterial small subunit ribosomal RNA", at positions 28 to 507 of the family's 1533-position model. The record is from RNAcentral.
GAUGAACGCUGGCGGCGUGCCUAACACAUGCAAGUCGAGCGGAGAAUUGUUGCUUGCAACCAUUCUUAGCGGCGGACGGGUGAGUAACACGUGGGUAACCUGCCCUAAACAAAGGGAUAACAAUGAGAAAUCAUUGCUAAUACCGUAUAAGCUUACACUAUCGCAUGAUAGAGUAAGAAAAGAUUUAUCGGUUUAGGAGGGGCCCGCGUCUGAUUAGCUAGUUGGAGAGGUAACGGCUCACCAAGGCGACGAUCAGUAGCCGACCUGAGAGGGUGAUCGGCCACAUUGGGACUGAGACACGGCCCAAACUCCUACGGGAGGCAGCAGUGGGGAAUAGUGCACAAUGGAGGAAACUCUGAUGCAGCAACGCCGCGUGAAGGAAGAAGGUUUUCGGAUCGUAAACUUCUAUCUACAGGGAAGAAAAAAAUGACGGUACCUGAGUAAGAAGCCCCGGCUAACUACGUG